AGAAAUGCAAAGAUAAGGAUUAGUACAGAUUCAUAUCGGAUUUCAGAGAGCCGCUGGCUGGUGUGAAGCGGCAGACGCAGAAUCUGGAACUGCCCUUGGAGCAGCUGCCCGAACUUUCGUAAGGAAACAGUAGAUGCAGACGGAACCCUGCCGUUAUCAGAAGGGAAAGAUAUAAGGUGUACAUAUCUGUAUCUUAUUAAGCGUAUGAAGUAUAUUCAUAAAGUAGAGUGGUACCGCGCAGGACAGUAGUCUUUCGUCUCUAUU
Molecule: non-coding RNA, 264 nt
Filed under: Blautia sp.
Lineage: Bacteria; Bacillati; Bacillota; Clostridia; Lachnospirales; Lachnospiraceae
Description: T-box sequence
Rfam family: T-box leader
About the family: Uncharged tRNA acts as the effector for transcription antitermination of genes in the T-box leader family. T-boxes are found upstream of many aminoacyl-tRNA synthetase genes and some amino acid biosynthetic genes usually in Gram-positive bacteria. The anticodon of a specific tRNA base pairs to a specifier sequence within the T-box motif, and the NCCA acceptor tail of the tRNA base pairs to a conserved bulge in the T-box antiterminator hairpin.
Source: RNAcentral